GGAACUGCAUGGUAUCUGCAGCCAGCAGCACAUCCUGCUGGGUGUUCAAAGGACAGUGCAACAGAAAUUCAGUGUCUGGCAUCGUUGGUUUUCUCAGCUUUGUGCUAGUAAACCUGGUAUUUUUACUGAGACACCC
Suncus etruscus (white-toothed pygmy shrew) is the source of this 136-nucleotide small nucleolar RNA. RefSeq annotates it as small nucleolar RNA SNORA8. The transcript has a single exon. NCBI's taxonomy places the organism in Eukaryota, Metazoa, Chordata, Mammalia, Eulipotyphla, Soricidae. The record is from RefSeq and is a predicted model, not a curated record.